UGGGGGAUAUUGCACAAUGGGCGAAAGCCUGAUGCAGCGACGCCGCGUGGGGGAUGAAGGCUUUCGGGUUGUAAACCUCUUUCGCUAUCGAACAAGGCCCGCUUAGUGUGGGCUGUGGGUAGGUGGAGAAGAAGCGCCGGCUAACUACGUGCCAGUAGCCGCGGUAAUACGUAGGGCGCGAGCGUUGUCCGGAAUUGUUGGGCGUAAAGGGCUUGUAGGCGGCUUGUUUCGUCUGCAUUGAAAAAGCGGGGCUUAACUUCGCGCGUGAAGUGGUUACAGGCAGGCUUGAGUGUGGUAGGGGUGACUGGAAUUCCAGGUGUAGCGGUGGAAUGCACAGAUAUCUGGAGGAACACCGAUGGCGAAGGAAGGUCACUGGGCCAUUACUGACGCUGAGGAGCGAAAGCAUGGGUAGCGAACAGG
Molecule: ribosomal RNA, 420 nt
Filed under: bacterium
Lineage: Bacteria
Description: partial 16S ribosomal RNA
Rfam family: Bacterial small subunit ribosomal RNA
Source: RNAcentral